RNAcentral lists this ribosomal RNA (420 nucleotides) under uncultured bacterium. Its description in RNAcentral is "bacterial SSU rRNA". It matches the Rfam family "Bacterial small subunit ribosomal RNA", at positions 359 to 776 of the family's 1533-position model. The record is from RNAcentral.
GAAUAUUGGGCAAUGGGCGAGAGCCUGACCCAGCCAUGCCGCGUGCAGGAAGACGGCCUAUUGGGUUGUAAACUGCUUUUAUCUGGGAAGAAAAUGCCCAUGCGUGGGAACUUGCCGGGACAAGAUGAAUAAGCACCGGCUAACGCCGUGCCAGCAACCGCGGUAAUACGGAGGGUGCAAGCGUUGUCCGGAUUUAUUGGGUUUGAAGGGUGCGUAGGCGGCUGAUUAAGUCAGCGGUGAAAGACUUCGGCUUAACCGGAGCAGUGCCGUUGACACUGGUCAGCUUGAGUGCUGCAGGGGGUACAUGGAAUUGAUGGUGUAGCGGUGAAAUGCAUAGAUACCAUCAGGAACACCGAUAGCGAAGGCAUUGUACUGGGCAGCAACUGACGCUGAUGCACGAAAGCAUGGGUAGCGAACAGG